UACGGAGGGAGCUAGCGUUGUUCGGAUCUACUGGGCGUAAAGCGCACGUAGGCGGCGCAGCAAGUCAGGGGUGAAAUCCCGGAGCUCAACUCCGGAACUGCCUUUGAAACUGCAGUGCUAGAAUCCUGGAGAGGCGAGUGGAAUUCCGAGUGUAGAGGUGAAAUUCGUAGAUAUCGGGAGGAACACCAGUGGCGAAGGCGGCGACCUGGGCCAAUAUUGACGCUGAGGUGCGAAAGCGUGGGGAGAAAACAGG
This 253-nucleotide ribosomal RNA is filed under the name uncultured bacterium. RNAcentral describes it as "partial 16S ribosomal RNA". It matches the Rfam family "Bacterial small subunit ribosomal RNA", at positions 524 to 776 of the family's 1533-position model. The record is from RNAcentral.